UUCUGUACUUAUCUCUUGCAUUAGCUAUUGCACCGGAUCCCAUAAGAUCUCCGUAGUUAAGUGUGUUUGGGCAAGAGUAGUACUAUAGGAUGGGUGAUCUUUGGGAAGUCCUUAUGUUGCACCUC
RNAcentral lists this ribosomal RNA (125 nucleotides) under Trifolium pratense (red clover). Lineage: Eukaryota; Viridiplantae; Streptophyta; Magnoliopsida; Fabales; Fabaceae. The record is from RNAcentral.